AAAAAGGGCUUCUGUCUGGAGUGGCACACGUAGGGUAGGGCAGCUUGAUUGUUCACGUGCAUAAUCGACAUCAAGAGAUUUCAGAAGCACAUUCUUUUGUUAUUUAGGCAGCUGGUGAUUGUUGGUCCUGGCACUCCU
Molecule: non-coding RNA, 138 nt
Organism: Myotis brandtii (Brandt's bat)
Lineage: Eukaryota; Metazoa; Chordata; Mammalia; Chiroptera; Vespertilionidae
Source: Rfam